Molecule: long non-coding RNA, 1482 nt
Organism: Symphalangus syndactylus (siamang)
Lineage: Eukaryota; Metazoa; Chordata; Mammalia; Primates; Hylobatidae
Source: RefSeq, a predicted model, not a curated record
AGCCUUGAGGGUGACUGAGCCAGAGGAUCCAGGAAAUUUGCCCCCAGAUUCCUGACCCAUAGAAGCCAAGAGACAGACAGUAAAUGCUGCAGUUCUAAAGCACGACAUUUUGGAAUAAUUCCUCACAUGGCAAUAACAACUAAUACAGCACCCUAACUAGAUUUCCCACACCCAGAUCUGCUGUCCCUCAUACUGUAGCCAAAGGGAUUCGAAUAACAUGUAAAUCUGAUUAUUGCUGAAACUCCUUCCAUGGCUCCUCAUUGCCUUCAGGAUAUACCCCAAAGUUUUCAACAUUUGCUCAAAGAUCUUUUUUGACUGCCCUGCAGGCUCAUUUCCCUCCAUUUCUCUUCUUGGUUUCGUUCUCCAUCAGUCUUCUGCAGUUUCUCCUGGCCUCAUGGUCGUUUUCAUCUCUAGGCCAUCACACUUGCUCUUUCUCCUGCUGGAAGCUUCCUUUCAUUUUUCUCUUUACCUGGCUACCUUGGAGCCAUCCUUUAUGUUUUAGCCUAAUCCAAGGAAGCCUUUCUUUCCUGACCCGCCCUACAGACAAGGUGAAGAGCUGCUUUCUCACUUCCACAGCACCCUGUGAUUUCUCUAUUGCAAUGCUGUUCACUCGUGGUUGUGAAGAUUUCUUUACUUGCCUCUUACUCUUGCUCAACUUGCAGGUUUGUGACAUCAGGAACGAUGUCAGCUUUGCCCCUUGCUUUCCCUGAGCACCUCACAGAGGCCUGGAACAUAGUGGGAACUCACUGUGCGUCUGCUGAAGGAAGAAAAGGAAAGCUGCCUCUGUCCAUGUGGUGACCUCUGCAAGCUCCAGGUCACAGAAUAAGGAAUGUUUCUCUACACUAAAGCCCUGGCAUUGAGCCCAGCUGGCUUGUAUUGGGUCAUGUAUGUAUUUCUGGACUUUCUGGACAUAUAAGGAGAGGAGACCCCACCACGUGGGUGAGAAGGGGAGAUGUGGAUCCCAAAAAGAAAAUCAAAGUGCCCUAAUCAGGCUGAAUGACCAAAACCAGUGGAUGUCCUCCUCAGCAGCACGUGUUGCACUGGAGGCUGUACUCCGGCCACCAUUCCCAAUGGUGGGACAUGGCAGUGAGGAAGGCAGAGAGUGACCUGUGGAGUGCAGUGGCUACUUUAGAUGCAGUGAGUAGAGUUUUCAGAGGAGGUGAUGUCUCAGCCAGUACCCGGGUGAAGAGGACACCGCCUAUCAGAGGGGCUGAGGAAGGGGAGCUGCACAUAGAGGACAAGCCAGGCAGCCCUGAACUAAGGCUGCGCACUGCCUCCUGGGAAAAGGUUAAAAAAUGACCUGAGAAAGUCCUGAGUUGAAAAUGUGGAGCUUGUCUGUGCCUCCCAGGACAAAGAGGGGAAUGCAGAUGAUUCUCCUCCAAGCGCCUCCACCAGAAUUUCACUCUUGGAAAAAACGUUUUCAAGUAUUGGUUAUUUUCUUUCUUGGCCACUUGAAGGCACUGUUGCCCUUAUAAUUUUGCU